RNAcentral lists this unclassified non-coding RNA (259 nucleotides) under Ascomycota sp. RNAcentral describes it as "partial contains small subunit ribosomal RNA, internal transcribed spacer 1, and 5.8S ribosomal RNA". The stretch from base 1 to 47 matches the Rfam family "Eukaryotic small subunit ribosomal RNA", at positions 1785 to 1831 of the family's 1831-position model. The record is from RNAcentral. Lineage: Eukaryota; Fungi; Ascomycota.
AAAGUCGUAACAAGGUUUCCGUAGGUGAACCUGCGGAAGGAUCAUUAGAAUGAGAUUCGGUUCGAGGGCUUCAAAACCUUAGGGCCGUCAACCUCCACCCUUGUGUAUCAUUCAAUUGUUGCUUUGGUGGGCCGCGACCCGCACGGGGAGCACCGGCUUCAGCUGGAGAGUGCCUGCCAGAGAACCCCAACUCUGUAUUUUGUAACAUCUGAGUACUAUACAAUAGUUAAAACUUUCAACAACGGAUCUCUUGGUUCUG